Molecule: ribosomal RNA, 253 nt
Filed under: uncultured bacterium
Lineage: Bacteria
Description: partial 16S ribosomal RNA
Rfam family: Bacterial small subunit ribosomal RNA
Source: RNAcentral
UACAGAGGGUGCGAGCGUUAAUCGGAAUUACUGGGCGUAAAGUGUGCGCAGGCGGCACCGCAAGUCGAGUGUGAAAGCCCCGGGCUUAACUUGGGAAUUGCGCUCGAAACUAUGGUGCUGGAGUGUGGCAGAGGAAGGUGGAAUUCCACGUGUAGCGGUGAAAUGCGUAGAGAUGUGGAGGAACACCGAUGGCGAAGGCAGCCUUCUGGGCCAACACUGACGCUCAUGCACGAAAGCGUGGGGAGCAAACAGG